RNAcentral lists this ribosomal RNA (468 nucleotides) under uncultured bacterium. Its description in RNAcentral is "partial 16S ribosomal RNA". It matches the Rfam family "Bacterial small subunit ribosomal RNA", at positions 28 to 507 of the family's 1533-position model. The record is from RNAcentral.
GACGAACGCUGGCGGCGUGCUUAACACAUGCAAGUCGAACGGAAAGGCCCUGCUUUUGUGGGGUGCUCGAGUGGCGAACGGGUGAGUAACACGUGAGUAACCUGCCCUUGACUUUGGGAUAACUUCAGGAAACUGGGGCUAAUACCGGAUAGGAGCUCCUGCUGCAUGGUGGGGGUGGGAAAGUUUCGGCGGUUGGGGAUGGACUCGCGGCUUAUCAGCUUGUUGGUGGGGUAGUGGCUUACAAAGGGUUUGACGGGUAGCCGGCCUGAGAGGGUGACCGGCCACAUUGGGACUGAGAUACGGCCCAGACUCCUACGGGAGGCAGCAGUGGGGAAUAUUGCACAAUGGGCGGAAGCCUGAUGCAGCAACGCCGCGUGCGGGAUGACGGCCUUCGGGUUGUAAACCGCUUUCGCCUGUGACGAAGCGUGAGUGACGGUAAUGGGUAAAGAAGCACCGGCUAACUACGUG